UCAAAGGGGGGAUUUCACAUGUCACAUGAUCAGUACCUGAAGGGAGAUCUCUCUCUCACCAUCACUGAUGCUGAUUACACGAAGAGGUUCUGGUACACCUGUGAGUGUGAUGGUGUAGACAUCUGUGAUGUGAGUCUACAGAUAAAGGCAUUGAAUUCUUCAGUUUGGAUCAAGUCCAAUGAAAAUCUGGUGCUGGAUUUGCCCAUAUCAGAGUCAGUGAAGGUGAUUUAUAACAGCACAGGUGCAGCUGCUCCCUCUAGUGGACAGAUCUGCACAGUGGCUGGAAGCUCAUUACAAUGUAAA
Non-coding RNA from Electrophorus electricus (electric eel), 303 nucleotides. The record is from RefSeq and is a predicted model, not a curated record. Lineage: Eukaryota; Metazoa; Chordata; Actinopteri; Gymnotiformes; Gymnotidae.